RNAcentral lists this transfer RNA (26 nucleotides) under Pennahia argentata (silver croaker). RNAcentral's name for it is "partial tRNA-Pro". The record is from RNAcentral. Lineage: Eukaryota; Metazoa; Chordata; Actinopteri; Sciaenidae.
CAAAAAAUAGUUUAAUUAAAAUACUA